GCCGUCAUAGCUCAGUUGGGAGAGCGACAGACUGAAGCUUAGAUAAGCAACUUCUGCAGGUCGCCCGUUCGAUCCGGGCUGACGGCA
Non-coding RNA from Tulasnella sp. 424, 87 nucleotides. Lineage: Eukaryota; Fungi; Basidiomycota; Agaricomycetes; Cantharellales; Tulasnellaceae. The record is from the annotation of a GenBank genome assembly.